Molecule: ribosomal RNA, 253 nt
Filed under: uncultured bacterium
Lineage: Bacteria
Description: partial 16S ribosomal RNA
Rfam family: Bacterial small subunit ribosomal RNA
Source: RNAcentral
UACGGAGGGGGCAAGCGUUAUUCGGAAUUAUUGGGCGUAAAGGGCGCGUAGGCGGCUCGUUAAGUUGCGGGUGAAAUCCCGGGGCUCAACUCCGGGGCUGCCAGUAAGACUGGCGGGCUAGAGCACGGUAGAGGCAGAUGGAAUUCCCGGUGUAGCGGUGGAAUGCGUAGAGAUCGGGAAGAACACCAGUGGCGAAGGCGAUCUGCUGGGCCGUUGCUGACGCUGAGGCGCGACAGCGUGGGGAGCAAACAGG